RNAcentral lists this unclassified non-coding RNA (272 nucleotides) under Hevea brasiliensis (rubber tree). The record is from RNAcentral. Lineage: Eukaryota; Viridiplantae; Streptophyta; Magnoliopsida; Malpighiales; Euphorbiaceae.
GAAAAAUUGUUGAUAAUGGUGGCGAAUUCAUGGGGUUGGAGAAUAAUCAGGCUGGAGCGGCCACGAAACGACCGGCUAUUUCUAAUAUCUCGAAUUCAUACAAUUGUAUCAGGAAAUACAGAGGUUCCAGAUGCAAUGGAGAUGAUAUUUCAAUCUGCGCUGGCUUUGGGUUGAAAGGGAGUUGCAAGUGUUCUUAUAUUGGUCUAUCCUGGUGUUAUUGUUGAAUCAAAUUCGAACAUAAACAAAGUGACUUUCAUUAUAAAACUUUAGGA